GUGAUUGGAUGGUUUACGCUGUCAACUGUCAAUACAGGAGACAAACCAAUGGGCCACUGGCUGCUCAUUGUCCGUGCAUGAUGGCCCCUUAAGUGCGUCGGCCCACCGGGAAAAUGCCCGGUAUGCCCGAUUACCAGUCCAGCCCUGGGAAUGAGUUACUUAUACUAUUACUGUUUUCUUUUUCUCAAUUCUAGGCCAAAGCUAUAAUAGAUUGAACAUUUUGGGGGGUUUUGGUGGUUUUCUUGGUUUUCUUGGUGUUCUUGCUCUUGUCAGAUAUUUCUACAAGCGUAAACAAAGAAGACAAAAAGAGGCUACGAGUCAAACUGUGACCAGCCAAAAUUCCCCACAAGUGGCUUUCAGUUACUCCGCAGACAGCAACCAAAUGAGGGGCAAUCUUUGCUUUAACCAGGGUGCGAACUACGGGGGAACUAUGGCGAGCUCGGCUCCCCCUAAUAAGACAUGGGCUCCCCUGAAAACGUGAUUUGUGAAAUUUUGGGGGGUCUCAAAAAAUAUUGACAAUGUGUUAUUUUGACGUGCAAUUUCAGUUUUGUGUAAUGUAAUCAUCGUGGAUUAUUAUGUGUAAAAUUGCAAAAAUAUAAUUCAUUCAUGCAUGACGGCGAUUUAAACCUAAUUCACUUCAAUAAAGAUAACUAUACAUGCUAUUCUUGUCAUGAGCAUCAAGGUGUGGGGCGCUGCGGUGCAAAUUCCACUCAUGUUUAGUACAUGUUAACUCAAAGAUUUGAAGAAAAAAUAUAAACGUUGAAUUCUGGUCGAUUCUGUGUUAAGGUAAGGCAUGUUAUUCGCAAUUAUGUGUUGUGGCUGAGUUGUUAUAGGUCUGCGAUGUCUUAGGCCUAACCGAACGGAGGAAUUAUGGUAUUCUUCUGUAGCCUGACGACGAGUAACUUUACAUUAACUGUUGUUCAUGUGAACUCAAAGACAGCCUGAUGCUUUGUUUAUAAACUAUUUGUGGGUGGCUGUUUGUUGUUUCACCUAUCAAUUAAUGUCGAUAAAGUAUAAUAGGGUAAAUCCUGUAUAGUGAUUUAUCCUAUAUACUAUAGUGCUUGCAUAAAGCAAGUAGUGCAUACACUUGUAGCUGUUAUGUAUCUUUGUAAGUCAUUGUAAGCCCUCUUUUGAGGCAUGCACAAGCGCACGAACGUUAUAAAAAAAAAGACAAGUGGGUUCCCCCAAAGUCCACUAUAUACACUGAAAAUUUUUUUUUGUUGGAUUUACUCAAUUGA
Molecule: long non-coding RNA, 1238 nt
Filed under: Sinocyclocheilus grahami
Lineage: Eukaryota; Metazoa; Chordata; Actinopteri; Cypriniformes; Cyprinidae
Description: lncRNA (ENSSGRG00000019492.1)
Source: RNAcentral